CGGACAGGGGGGUUCCUGCCGUCCGGCGGGGCCUGUCCGAACAGGUUGCGCGAAUGCGUGGCCAGUGGUUGUCGCUCGGGGGUGAUCGCCG
RNAcentral lists this small RNA (91 nucleotides) under Streptomyces sp. Ncost-T10-10d. RNAcentral describes it as "che1 RNA". It matches the Rfam family "che1 RNA". The record is from Rfam by way of RNAcentral. Lineage: Bacteria; Bacillati; Actinomycetota; Actinomycetes; Kitasatosporales; Streptomycetaceae.